RNA transcript from Tachyglossus aculeatus (Australian echidna), 2226 nucleotides. It is a transcript of the gene named akirin 1, with no coding region annotated. The record is from RefSeq and is a predicted model, not a curated record. Lineage: Eukaryota; Metazoa; Chordata; Mammalia; Monotremata; Tachyglossidae. The transcript is spliced from 5 exons.
CCGAGCUGUGGGGGGAGCCGCCGGACCGCCGCCAUGGCGUGCGGGGCCACCCUGAAGCGGCCCAUGGAGUUCGAGGCGGCCUUGCUGAGCCCGGGCUCCCCGAAGCGGCGGCGGUGCGCGCCCCUCGCCCUCGCCCUGCCCCUGCCCAACGCCGCCGCCGCCGCCGCCGCCCUCCGCGAGCCGGGCCCGGACCCGCCUCAGCCAUCGUCGCCGCCGCUGCCGCCGCCGCCGCCGCCUCAACCGACCACGGCCGACAGGCGCCUCCCGACGCCCGAGCAAAUAUUUUGGAACAUUAAACAAGAAUAUAGUCGUUAUCAGAGACGAAGACAGUUGGAGGGUGUUAAUCAGAGUGACGCUUGUGCUCCUGAGAGUCAUUCUCACUGUUCAAUACUUACAGCACCUAGUUCACCAGGUUCACCGUGGGUGAAGAAAGACCAGCCAACGUUCACCUUACGGCAGGUUGGAAUUUUGUGCGAGCGUCUGCUGAAAGACUAUGAAGACAGGAUCCGAGAGGAAUACGAGCAGAUCCUCAAUACAAAGCUAGCAGUGCUCUGCCUCUUCCCCUCACAGAACAAUACGAAUCUUUUGUGAAAUUCACACACGAUCAGAUCAUGCGACGAUACGGGGCCCGCCCAACAAGCUAUGUGUCCUGAAGGUUUCUUGGACAUCUGGGUACCUGGCUUGACCUCAAGAGAUGGCUGCUGUACAAUUUUGCAACUGGUUUGUUAUCACAUUUCAGCUCCAACUUUUUCCAUUCUGAGAACACUUUAACGUCUCUGCCGGUCCAUUUUUAUCUAACUUGAAAGACCUUGAAACGUUUCAGUUGCCACAACUUUCUCUUCUGACAAUAUAAUAAACUAUACUUGUUCCCUGCCGUGCUCUGUACCCCUAAAAAACAACAAAAACAUAUAUGGAGCAGCACCCUAACAAAUUACGCCUGUAGCGGCCCGAAGAGUGGAAAACGUUCCCCGGGUUCUGUAAGCGGUAUGUGUUGUUUUUUGGGGGGGUUUUGUUGUUUUGUUUUUUUUUUAAGUUAUUAUCUGUGUUGUGCAAACUUUUUGAUCUUGGGGAUCCUGGCUGUGAAGUUGAUGCACUACAGUGGUGGUGAGGAAUGCUGUUUGGUUCAGAAAGGAUAUUAAGGAUCGUCCUAGUGACCCUAUGACUUUGUAACAGUGGAUCGUUGUUUGUAUAGGUAUUGUUCGAUAGAGGGAUUCCUUUCAGGCACAGACCGUUCAUUGUAACUUCAGAUUGGCCAGAGAUGUAAACUGAGGACAGAGAGAGAUUUUUAGGGUCUUAGAUCCCACAUGCGGCAUGGAAUUAGUACAAACCAGAAGAGUCGUUGAACCUACGGGCUCCGCUUGACCGCGUUUAAAGCAUCCUGGGACUCCAAGCCUUAAAAAUAUUCACCGGAGUCCACAGCUCACUGUGCCACCGGCUUCUUCUCUCACCUAAACGGUAGUGAUUUCCAAGCGACGUUUCCGACCCCCGCAAAGGAAAAACCUUCCCCAAGAGCCGUGGACUUUUGGUUGUCCGUGCACCGGACGGCAGAGGGGAAAGGGGCGACGGUCCCGUCCCCCGACUGACGACAGACCCACCCAGGAGUCGGCAAGGAUAGGACCGUAGAUCCCGUGUUCCCAGUGUUUGGUCACUUUCUUUCACAUUCUUCCAAGGUGGUUAAAUGCUUGGCUGCUUGAACUUUCUUCUCCCGCAAUGCCCUCUCCUAAGUUGAUAACAUGCUGUUCUUCUCCUUUGAAUUUCUAAGGCUGAGGAACAGAAAGUAACCUCUGUUUUGAGGAGGUGGAAGUUCAGUGUACAGGACUUGUGGUGUUUUUUGUUUUGUUGUUUUUUUUUUACUGUGACUUUGUCAAGGACCAUAUUCUACAACGAUGCCUUUUGUUUCCUGAUUGUUUCCCUCUAGGAAAGUUAUAUUAAAAUCGUUUUUAGUUUAAGCAUAGGAUAGUAUUUUAAAUUAGGACUUGUCCUGAAAAGUAUCGAGUUCAGUGAGAAGGAAGGCCGUGGCCUUUCUGGGCAGGGCCUUAUUUGGGAAAUGACUGUUCUUUUGAUCAGCUGGCGUAAAGACGACUUUGAAACUAGUCCCAUCUGCAGCUGCCUAUUGAUGAAUGUCUCCGACUUAAAUCUAACCAAAAACUGCAAUGGUAUUCUUUGUACAUUUUCAUUAUAUAGUGUUAAGCUGAGUUGCAACCAUUAAAAUACUUAAGCUAUUUG